Molecule: ribosomal RNA, 531 nt
Filed under: Scheffersomyces sp. BG090815.8.10.2.1.11
Lineage: Eukaryota; Fungi; Ascomycota; Pichiomycetes; Serinales; Debaryomycetaceae
Description: eukaryotic LSU rRNA
Rfam family: Eukaryotic large subunit ribosomal RNA
Source: RNAcentral
UCAAAUUUGAAAUCUGGCACCUUCGGUGUCCGAGUUGUAAUUUGAAGAAGGUAACUUUGGAGUUGGGUCUUGUCUAUGUUCCUUGGAACAGGACGUCACAGAGGGUGAGAAUCCCGUGCGAUGAGAUGUCCAACUCUAUGUAAAGUGCUUUCGAAGAGUCGAGUUGUUUGGGAAUGCAGCUCUAAGUGGGUGGUAAAUUCCAUCUAAAGCUAAAUAUUGGCGAGAGACCGAUAGCGAACAAGUACAGUGAUGGAAAGAUGAAAAGAACUUUGAAAAGAGAGUGAAAAAGUACGUGAAAUUGUUGAAAGGGAAGGGUUUGAGAUCAGACUUGGUAUUUUGUAUGUCUUGCUUUCGGGUGGGGCCUCUGCAGUUUACUGGGCCAGCAUCGGUUUGGACGGUAGGAUAAUGACAUUGGAAUGUGGCACUACUUCGGUGGUGUGUUAUAGACUUUGUUGAUACUGCCUGUCUAGACCGAGGACUGCGUCUUUGACUAGGAUGCUGGCAUAAUGAUCCUAAACCGCCCGUCUUGAA